GGUGAAAGGCCAAUCAAACUUGGAGAUAGCUGGUUUUCUGCGAAAUCUAUUUAAGUAGAGCGUUUUAAAAUCUUUAUUUUGGGGUAGAGCACUUGAUAAAUGAUGGGGACGUAAAGUUUUACUGAUUUUAAUAAAACUUCGAAUACGAAAUAAAAGAAUUAAGAUAGUCAGACUAAAGGUGCUAAGAUCUUUAGUCAAAAGGGAAACAGCCCAGAUUAUUUGUUAAGGUCCUUAAAAAUAAUUAAGUGAAAAAGAAAUUAAAAAAAAUAUGACGACUAGAAGGUAGGUUUGGAAGCAGCCAUCCUUUAAAGAAAGCGUAACAGCUCACUGGUCUAAAUAAGGGUUUCUGCGCCGAAGAUGUAACGGGGCUCAAGCCACGAGCCGAAGCUUAGGGUGUGAUCCGCAAGGGUCACGCGGUAGCGGAGCGUUCUGUAAGCCUGCGAAGGUGUCUUGUAAAGGAUGCUGGAGGUAUCAGAAGUGCGAAUGCUGACAUGAGUAACGACAAUGGGUGUGAAAAACACCCACGCCGAAAGACCAAGGUUUCCUGCGCAACGUUAAUCGACGCAGGGUUAGUCGGUCCCUAAGGCGAGGCUGAAAAGCGUA
RNAcentral lists this ribosomal RNA (603 nucleotides) under Aulacoseira subarctica. RNAcentral's name for it is "partial Bacterial large subunit ribosomal RNA". It matches the Rfam family "Bacterial large subunit ribosomal RNA", at positions 819 to 1413 of the family's 2925-position model. Lineage: Eukaryota; Bacillariophyta; Melosirophyceae; Melosirales; Aulacoseiraceae. The record is from RNAcentral.